CUAUUCUGUUAAUUAGAGGGGGUAGAUCUAUUCUGUUAAUUAGAAGGGGUAGAUCUAUUCUGUUAAUUAGAAGGGGUAGAUCUAUUCUGUUAAUUAGAAGGGGUAGAUCUAUUCUGUUAAUUAGAAGGGGUAGAUCUAUUCUGUUAAUUAGAAGGGGUAGAUCUAUUCUGUUAAUUAGAAGGGGUAGAUCUAUUCUGUUAAUUAGAAGGGGUAGAUCUAUUCUGUUAAUUAGAGGGGGUAGAUCUAUUCUGUUAAUUAGAAGGGGUAGAUCUAUUCUGUUAAUUAGAAGGGGUAGAUCUAUUCUGUUAAUUAGAAGGGGUAGAUCUAUUCUGUUAAUUAGAAGGGGUAGAUCUAUUCUGUUAAUUAGAAGGGGUAGAUCUAUUCUGUUAAUUAGAGGGGGUAGAUCUAUUCUGUUUAUUAGAGGGGGUAGAUCUAUUCUGUUAAUUAGAAGGGGUAGAUCUAUUCUGUUAAUUAGAGGGGGUAGAUCUAUUCUGUUUAUUAGAGGGGGUAGAUCUAUUCUGUUAAUUAGAGGGGGUAGAUCUAUUCUGUUAAUUGGAGGGGGUAGGCCUCUUCUGUUAAUUGGAGGGGGUAGAUCUCUUCUGUUAAUUGGAGGGGGUAGGCCUCUUCUGUUAAUUGGAGGGGGUAGGCCUCUUCUGUUAAUUGGAGGGGGUAGAUCUCUUCUGUUAAUUG
Oncorhynchus keta (chum salmon) is the source of this 690-nucleotide long non-coding RNA. RefSeq lists it as uncharacterized. Lineage: Eukaryota; Metazoa; Chordata; Actinopteri; Salmoniformes; Salmonidae. The transcript has 3 exons. The record is from RefSeq and is a predicted model, not a curated record.